GACGUGCGCAGGCGGUUAUGUAAGACAGAUGUGAAAUACCCCGGGCCUCAACCUGGGAACUGCAUUAGUGACUGCAUAGCUGGAGUACGGCAGAGGGGGAUGGAAUUCCGCGUGUAGCAGUGAAAUGCGUAGAUAUGCGGAGGAACACCGAUGGCGAAGGCAAUCCCCUGGGCCUGUACUGACGCUCAUGCACGAAAGCGUGGGGAGCAAACAGGAUUAGAUACCCUGGU
RNAcentral lists this ribosomal RNA (230 nucleotides) under uncultured bacterium. Its description in RNAcentral is "partial 16S ribosomal RNA". It matches the Rfam family "Bacterial small subunit ribosomal RNA", at positions 567 to 791 of the family's 1533-position model. The record is from RNAcentral.